RNAcentral lists this transfer RNA (99 nucleotides) under Kitasatospora phosalacinea. Its description in RNAcentral is "tRNA-Ser". Lineage: Bacteria; Bacillati; Actinomycetota; Actinomycetes; Kitasatosporales; Streptomycetaceae. The record is from RNAcentral.
CGGCGGCGUUGGCGCGCGGGCUGCUGGCGCGUCCGGCGCUGGCGGGCACGGGUGCGGCGACGGCGCCCGGCGGGCCGUUGGGGUUCCGCCGGACGUCGU